GAUGAACGCUGGCGGCGUGCCUAAUACAUGCAAGUCGAGCGAACAGACGAGAGUGCUUGCACUCUCUGACGUUAGCGGCGGACGGGUGAGUGACACGUGGGUAACCUACCUAUAAGACUGGGAUAACUUCGGGAAACCGGAGCUAAUACCGGAUAAUAUUUAGCUUCGCAUGAAGCAAUAGUGAAAGAAGGUUCUGCUGUCACUUAUAGAUGGACCCGCGGUGUAUUAGCUAGUUGGUGAGGUAACGGCUCACCAAGGCAACGAUACAUAGCCGACCUGAGAGGGUGAUCGGCCACACUGGGACUGAGACACGGCCCAGACUCCUACGGGAGGCAGCAGUAGGGAAUCUUCCGCAAAGGACGAAAGUCUGACGGGGCAAUGCCGCGUGAGUGAAGAAGGUUUUCGGAUCGUAAAACUCUGUUGUAAGGGAAGAACAAGUACUUUAGUAACUGAACGUACCUUGACGGUACCUUACCAGAAAGCCACGGCUAACUACGUG
RNAcentral lists this ribosomal RNA (499 nucleotides) under uncultured bacterium. RNAcentral's name for it is "partial 16S ribosomal RNA". It matches the Rfam family "Bacterial small subunit ribosomal RNA", at positions 28 to 507 of the family's 1533-position model. The record is from RNAcentral.